ACAAGGUUGUUCUAACAAGUCUGAUGCAGUCAUGACAUAACAGGAAUGUUACAAGGUUGACGACACAAGGUUGUAACAAUAUUGUUAUAUCACGACUGUAUCGGACUUGUUGGACCAACCUUGUAACAAGUCUGAUAAUAUCAACAAGGUUGUUACAAGUGUUAUGGUGCGUUAUUUAUGCGUCAAAUAUAUUUUCCAAUUAGGUAUAUUUUCAACCUUUAGGCUUCGGGUUCAAAUUAUAUUAACGCUACCGUAACACAAAUAGCAUGAAACCUUAUACCUUU
This is a non-coding RNA of Paramuricea clavata, 284 nucleotides long. The record is from the annotation of a GenBank genome assembly. NCBI's taxonomy places the organism in Eukaryota, Metazoa, Cnidaria, Anthozoa, Malacalcyonacea, Plexauridae.